RNAcentral lists this ribosomal RNA (825 nucleotides) under uncultured bacterium. RNAcentral's name for it is "bacterial SSU rRNA". It matches the Rfam family "Bacterial small subunit ribosomal RNA", at positions 613 to 1439 of the family's 1533-position model. The record is from RNAcentral.
CCUGGGAACUGCGUUNUGAACUGGGUGACUAGAGUGUGUCAGAGGGAGGUAGAAUUCCACGUGUAGCAGUGAAAUGCGUAGAGAUGUGGAGGAAUACCGAUGGCGAAGGCAGCCUCCUGGGAUAACACUGACGUUCAUGCCCGAAAGCGUGGGUAGCAAACAGGAUUAGAUACCCUGGUAGUCCACGCCCUAAGCGAUGUCGAUUAGCUGUUGGGCAGCAUGACUGCUUAGUAGCGAAGCUAACGCGUGAAAUCGACCGCCUGGGGAGUACGGUCGCAAGAUUAAAACUCAAAGGAAUUGACGGGGACCUGCACAAGCGGUGGAUGAUGUGGAUUAAUUCGAUGCAACGCGAAGAACCUUACCUGGUCUUGACAUGUACGGAACCCUCCAGAGACGGAGGGGUGCCUUCGGGAGCCGUAACACAGGUGCUGCAUGGCUGUCGUCAGCUCGUGUCGUGAGAUGUUGGGUUAAGUCCCGCAACGAGCGCAACCCUUGUCAUUAGUUGCCAUCAUUAAGUUGGGCACUCUAAUGAGACUGCCGGUGACAAGCCGGAGGAAGGUGGGGAUGACGUCAAGUCCUCAUGGCCCUUAUGACCAGGGCUUCACACGUCAUACAAUGGUCGGUACAGAGGGUAGCCAAGCCGCGAGGUGGAGCCAAUCUCACAAAACCGAUCGUAGUCCGGAUUGCACUCUGCAACUCGAGUGCAUGAAGUCGGAAUCGCUAGUAAUCGCAGGUCAGCAUACUGCGGUGAAUACGUUCCCGGGUCUUGUACACACCGCCCGUCACACCAUGGGAGUGGGGGAUACCAGAAGUAGGUAGGGUAAC